This 163-nucleotide ribosomal RNA is filed under the name Angelica decursiva. RNAcentral describes it as "5.8S ribosomal RNA". It matches the Rfam family "5.8S ribosomal RNA". Rfam says of the family: 5.8S ribosomal RNA (5.8S rRNA) is a component of the large subunit of the eukaryotic ribosome. It is transcribed by RNA polymerase I as part of the 45S precursor that also contains 18S and 28S rRNA. Functionally, it is thought that 5.8S rRNA may be involved in ribosome translocation. The record is from RNAcentral. Lineage: Eukaryota; Viridiplantae; Streptophyta; Magnoliopsida; Apiales; Apiaceae.
AACGACUCUCGACAACGGAUAUCUCGGCUCUCGCAUCGAUGAAGAACGUAGCGAAAUGCGAUACUUGGUGUGAAUUGCAGAAUCCCGUGAACCAUCGAGUCUUUGAACGCAAGUUGCGCCCGAAGCCACUAGGCUGAGGGCACGCCUGGCCUGGGUGUCACGC